RNAcentral lists this ribosomal RNA (253 nucleotides) under uncultured bacterium. RNAcentral's name for it is "partial 16S ribosomal RNA". It matches the Rfam family "Bacterial small subunit ribosomal RNA", at positions 524 to 776 of the family's 1533-position model. The record is from RNAcentral.
UACGUAGGGGGCAAGCGUUGUCCGGAUUUAUUGGGCGUAAAGAGCGUGUAGGCGGCCUGAAAGGUCAGCUGUGAAAACUCGAGGCUCAACCUCGAGACGUCGGUUGAAACCAUCUGGCUAGAGCCCGGAAGAGGAGUGUGGAAUUCCCGGUGUAGCGGUGAAAUGCGCAGAUAUCGGGAAGAACACCCGUGGCGAAGGCGGCACUCUGGGACGGUACUGACGCUGAGACGCGAAAGCGUGGGGAGCGAACAGG